UUCGUCAUUGCUGCGGUUAAAAAGCUCGUAGUUGGAUCUGAGUCACAUGCAGUGGUUCGCCUUUGGCGUUAAUCGCUGUUGUGACUAUUUGCUGGUUUUCUACUUAGGUUUCGGCCUUUGUAGUGGCUAGCGAGUUUACUUUGAAUAAAUUAGAGUGCUCAGAACAGGCGUUUGCCUGAAUGCUCGAUCAUGGAAUAAUAAAAGAGGACUUCGGUUCUAUUUAUUGGUUCAGGAACUGAAAUAAUGGUUAAGAGGGACAAUUCGGGGGCAUUCGUAUCCCUGCGCGAGAGGUGAAAUUCGUGGACCGCAGGGGGACGCCCUAAAGCGAAAGCAUUUGCCAAGAAUGUCUUCAUUAAUCAAGAACGAAAGUCAGAGGUUCGAAGGCGAUUAGAUACCGCCCUAGUUCUGACCGUAAACUAUGCCAUCUAGCGAUCCGAUGGGGUAUAGUUGCCUUGUCGAGGAGCUUCCCGGAAACGAAAGUCUUUCGGUUCCUGGGGUAGUAUGGUUGCAAAGCUGAAACUUAAAGAAAUUGACGGAAUGGCACCACCAGGAGUGGAGCCUGCGGCUUAAUUUGACUCAACACGGGAAAACUCACCCGGCCCGGACACCGUAAGGAUUGACAGAUUGAAAGCUCUUUCUCGAUUUGGUGGUUGGUGGUGCAUGGCCGUUCUUAGUUGGUGGAGCGAUUUGUCUGGUUUAUUCCGAUAACGAGCGAGACUCUAGCCUGCUAAAUAGUGGCUGGAUUUUUAAGUCCAGUCUACUUCUUAGAGGGAUAAGCGGUGUUUAGCCGCACGAGAUUGAGCGAUAACAGGUCUGUGAUGCCCUUAGAUGUCCGGGGCUGCACGCGCGCUACAAUGGAAGAAUCAGCUGGCCUAUCCAUUGCCGAAAGGCAUUGGUAAACCGUUGAAACUCUUCCGUGACCGGGAUAGGGAAUUGUAAUUAUUUCCCUUGAACGAGGAAUUCCUAGUAAGUGUGAGUCAUCAGCUCACGCUGAUUACGUCCCUGCCAUUUGUACACACCGCCCGUCGCUGUCCGGGACUGAGCUGUCUCGAGAGGACUGCGGACUGCUGUAUCGAGGCCUUCGGGUCGCSGGUWAUGGGCSGGGAAAAAC
Molecule: ribosomal RNA, 1111 nt
Filed under: Oesophagostomum muntiacum
Lineage: Eukaryota; Metazoa; Nematoda; Chromadorea; Rhabditida; Strongylidae
Description: SSU rRNA
Source: RNAcentral